This is a long non-coding RNA of Athene cunicularia (burrowing owl), 725 nucleotides long. RefSeq lists it as uncharacterized. The transcript has 2 exons. Lineage: Eukaryota; Metazoa; Chordata; Aves; Strigiformes; Strigidae. The record is from RefSeq and is a predicted model, not a curated record.
CUUGCCCCAGAAGGUGCCAGAGGUUGGAUGAUUGCCCAAGAAGCAUGAAGUCAGCAAAAAUCUGUGGAAACUGGGGGAGAAGUAAAGGUGGCAGGGGGAGAUCAUGACCACUGACUCAAUUCAAGACCAAAAAGAAUUGCCUCCCCCCACACCUGCAAGAAGCAUGCAUGCUAAUUUACACAGAACGCUGGAAGGAGCACUGCUGAGAUCCUGGGUCUCCUCACUGGCAUCAGGAAGAAAUCCCUGGAUAGGUGUCUUCAAGCCAAAGGGCUUCCCUGCCAGUCAGGGAGCACUUAACACCCCUCAGAGCAAGUUGCAGCAAAGAAUUACUGACCUUUGGAACCUCCACACAUGUCCAGGGCAUGAUGCACUGCAAUGCACUCAGAGGUCCGUCUUGAUUAGAGCAAUGCUCUGAACACUUUUGGAGCUCCCAGGUCAUCCAGGUCUCUGGGUGCCACUCCUUAACUGCAAGAGGGUUUGAGUAUUUCCUCUGAAGUUCAGCAUCAUCAUAAUCCUAAGGCAAUAUGGCACAUGCCCCAUCGUGUCAGUUUGUAGUAAAUGAUAUCUUGCUUGGUGAGUGUAACAAAACCAAAUAUGUGCUUGAUGAAAAAUCUGUCUAUCUUUUAUGCCUGAGACAGAACCUUACAGCCCCCCCUUUGUUCUAUUCCUCCUUGAAAGUUCCUUCCAUUUCCUUAAGUCCGCAUAUGGCAAGGUGAUGGGAAACA